AAAAAUUCAAGUUAACUCUGAGAUAUGGAACCUUCAGCGCAGGAUUUGAAGAAAGGAUUCCAGCACGGAGCAGAAGGAACAUACAUGAGAAGAUCACUAGGCAAAUAAACUCGAUAUGCACCACUCUCUGAAUCUCGGCAGUAGCCACAAACCCCACGUGAAUGCAAGCCUGAGACAUGCGGCUGUGAGGACAUCGGCAGGACCUUCAGAACAGACCCUGGG
Long non-coding RNA from Suricata suricatta (meerkat), 222 nucleotides. RefSeq lists it as uncharacterized. The transcript is spliced from 3 exons. The record is from RefSeq and is a predicted model, not a curated record. NCBI's taxonomy places the organism in Eukaryota, Metazoa, Chordata, Mammalia, Carnivora, Herpestidae.